Molecule: long non-coding RNA, 455 nt
Organism: Erigeron canadensis
Lineage: Eukaryota; Viridiplantae; Streptophyta; Magnoliopsida; Asterales; Asteraceae
Exons: 3
Source: RefSeq, a predicted model, not a curated record
UGCAUCUUCAAAACAUUUUGCUAAUUUUUCUGGGUGUGGAAUGAGGUCUUUUGCUACAAGAAUUUGCAUGUCAGCCUUUCCUGCAUAACUCACCAUGUGCAUAGUAAUUGCCUGUAUCAACACAAGCAUCAGGCAUAUGUUAAUUCACUUCUUGUGAAGAGGUGUCAAUAUGGCAAGUUAGCUUUUCUAUUCUGCCCAUUUGCGAUGAAACACAACCCCAAUGAUCCACUUGUAACUGGGACACCUCCAAUUGUGAACUCAUCUUUUGGGCCAACCACAUUUGAUAUAGUGAAACUAGUGUUGCAAAUGAUCCUGUAGUUAAGAUAGCUUGCAAACUGAAGACCUAAACUGUUAGCCAGAAAACAUAAUGCAUCUACGAAAUAUCAAUUUAUCAAGUUAUUUAACUGAGUGAUACCUUUGCUCCAAAGCAUUUCAUAAUAAUAUAGCCGAUUUUG